UUUGACCUCAAAUCAGGUAGGACUACCCGCUGAACUUAAGCAUAUCAAUAAGCGGAGGAAAAGAAACUAACGAGGAUUCCCCUAGUAACUGCGAGUGAAGAGGGAAGAGCUCAAAUUUGAAAUCUGGCAGUCUGUUUUUUCUUCUUUGGCUGUCCGAGUGUAAU
This 164-nucleotide ribosomal RNA is filed under the name Amanita sp. 'bellulasinu'. RNAcentral's name for it is "partial 28S ribosomal RNA". It matches the Rfam family "Eukaryotic large subunit ribosomal RNA", at positions 1 to 170 of the family's 3401-position model. The record is from RNAcentral. Lineage: Eukaryota; Fungi; Basidiomycota; Agaricomycetes; Agaricales; Amanitaceae.